AAAAAUUGCUGCGCUAUUAGCGGAACACAACUUGCCGAUGACAUUUUGUGAUCAUUUGAUUCCUUUAUUGAAAGACGCGUUUCCGGAUUCAAAAAUUGCGCAAGGAAUGCAGAUGGAAAGAACGAAGGUGACAGGAGUUAUCAAACAUGUUUUGGCAAAUUCACAUUUUGUUAAACUAGUUGAAGAACUGAAAGUGGAAAAAUUUAGCAUUUUGAUAGAUGAAUCCACAGACAUAGGUGUAGUGAAAAAUAUUUGUGUGUGUACGGUACUUUGGUAACAAAAAUUGAAAUAACCACGAAAUUUUUUAAUUUGGACCAAUGUUUUUCAAAUGAAAAUCCAGCUGAAGCAGAAACAGGUGCAACAGCAGAAGUAAUUUAUAACAGAAUUGAAAGUUUAUUCGAGUCUGCAAGAGUAUAAUUUGAAAAUAUAAUUGGUUUUGGCUCUGAUGAUGGUUGUAACUCUAUAUUUGGUUACAAAAAUUCAAUAACAUUUUGUAAUGUGAAGUCCCACAAAAUUUUGCGUCCAUCACAAACUAGAUGACUCUCAUUACUAAUGGUGGUCGAAAGGAUUAUUGAACAAUGGAAUCCUCUUCAACUAUAUUUUGUACGAGAAUGGACCGAGCAUAGGUUACAAGCAUCCGAAAUUAAACUUUUUUUCUUUUUACUUCAAUGGGUUUUAAUUCAAAUUUGUUAAAUUUGUACAGUGAUAAUAUAAAUUCACUAUUAUUCGUAAACGGCGAAUGUUACAAUUUAAAUGUUACAGAGAAUAUGAUAAUGUAACGAAUUAAAGAAUUAACUGUCUUAAA
This is a long non-coding RNA of Leptinotarsa decemlineata (Colorado potato beetle), 805 nucleotides long. RefSeq lists it as uncharacterized. NCBI's taxonomy places the organism in Eukaryota, Metazoa, Arthropoda, Insecta, Coleoptera, Chrysomelidae. The record is from RefSeq and is a predicted model, not a curated record.